GGCGAGCGGAGCCCGGGCGGCGUCGAGCGGGGCGAGGGGCGCGGGCUGGAGCCGCUGCCCGCCCGCCCCACAGCCGGGGAGCGCCGCGGGAAGGGGUAGCGCGAGCUCGCCCCGAGCGAGGAGCAGCGCCGCAGCCAUGGGGAACCGCGGGAUGGAGGAUCUCAUCCCGCUGGUCAACCGGCUGCAGGACGCGUUCGCCGCCAUCGGGCAGAACGCCAACCUCGACCUGCCGCAGAUCGCCGUGGUGGGGGGGCAGAGCGCGGGCAAGAGCUCCGUGCUGGAGAAUUUCGUCGGGAGGGACUUUCUGCCACGUGGAUCUGGCAUCGUAACCAGGCGCCCGCUGGUCCUGCAGCUUGUAAACGCCAGCACAGAAUAUGGUGAGUUCCUACACUGCAAAGGAAAGAAAUUCACUGAUUUUGAGGAGGUCCGUUUGGAGAUUGAGGCUGAAACGGAUCGUGUUACUGGCUCCAACAAAGGGAUUUCCCCUGUGCCCAUCAAUCUCAGAGUCUACUCUCCCCAUGUCCUGAACCUGACUCUGGUGGAUCUGCCGGGUAUGACAAAAGUCCCCGUGGGGGAUCAGCCCCCUGACAUCGAGUUCCAGAUCCGAGACAUGCUCAUGCAGUUUGUCACCAAAGAGAAUUGCCUCAUCCUGGCAGUGUCCCCAGCCAACUCUGAUUUGGCCAAUUCUGAUGCCCUGAAGAUCGCAAAGGAGGUGGAUCCUCAAGGCCAACGCACCAUUGGGGUCAUCACGAAGCUGGAUCUUAUGGACGAAGGAACUGAUGCAAGAGACGUAUUAGAAAACAAAUUGCUUCCACUCCGUAGAGGUUACAUUGGUGUAGUCAACAGAAGUCAGAAGGACAUAGAUGGCAAGAAGGACAUUCAGGCAGCUCUGGCUGCAGAGAGGAAGUUUUUUCUCUCCCACCCAGCCUACAGACACAUGGCUGACCGCAUGGGAACCCCCUACCUGCAGAAAGUACUGAACCAGCAAUUGACCAACCACAUCCGUGACACCCUGCCAGGGCUGCGGAACAAGCUCCAGAGCCAACUUCUUUCCAUUGAGAAGGAGGUGGAGGAGUACAAGAGCUUUCGCCCUGAUGACCCUGCUCGCAAGACCAAAGCUCUGCUCCAGAUGGUCCAGCAGUUUGCUGUGGACUUUGAGAAACGCAUUGAGGGCUCUGGAGACCAAAUUGAUACCUAUGAGCUGUCAGGAGGAGCGAGGAUUAACCGCAUCUUCCAUGAGCGCUUCCCCUUUGAGCUGGUGAAGAUGGAGUUUGAUGAGAAGGAGCUGCGGCGGGAGAUCAGCUACGCCAUCAAGAACAUCCAUGGUAUCAGAACCGGUCUCUUCACACCCGACAUGGCCUUUGAGACCAUUGUGAAAAAGCAGGUGAAGAAGAUUAAAGAGCCUUGCCUGAAAUGCGUGGACAUGGUCAUUUCGGAGUUAAUCAAUACUGUUAGACAGUGCACCAAGAAGCUCAGCCAAUACCCUCAUCUGCGUGAGGAGAUGGAGAGGAUUGUCACCACUCACAUCCGGGAGAGAGAAGGCAGGACCAAGGAUCAGGUCAUGCUUCUAAUAGACAUCGAGCUGGCUUACAUGAACACAAACCAUGAGGAUUUCAUUGGCUUUGCCAAUGCUCAGCAGAGGAGCAGCCAGAUGAGCAAGAAGAAGGCAGCUGGCAAUCAGGAUGAGAUCCUGGUGAUCAGAAAGGGCUGGCUCACCAUCAACAACAUUGGGAUCAUGAAGGGUGGCUCCAAGGAGUAUUGGUUUGUCCUGACAGCGGAGAACCUCUCCUGGUACAAGGAUGAUGAGGAGAAGGAGAAGAAGUACAUGUUACCAGUGGAUAACCUGAAACUGCGAGAUGUGGAGAAGGGGUUCAUGUCUAGCAAGCACAUCUUUGCUCUCUUCAACACUGAACAGAGGAAUGUUUACAAGGAUUACCGGCAGCUGGAGCUGGCCUGUGAGACCCAGGAGGAGGUGGAUAGCUGGAAAGCCUCCUUCCUUCGUGCAGGAGUGUACCCAGAGCGUGUUGGGGACAAGGACAAAGCCAGUGAGGCAGAGGAGAAUGGAGGAGACAGUUUCAUGCACUCCAUGGACCCUCAGCUGGAGAGACAAGUGGAAACGAUCAGGAACCUGGUGGAUUCCUACAUGGCAAUUGUCAACAAAACCAUCAGAGACCUCAUGCCGAAGACAAUCAUGCACCUCAUGAUAAACAAUACUAAGGACUUCAUCCACUCAGAGCUGCUGGCGAACCUGUACUCGUGUGGCGACCAAAACACGCUGAUGGAGGAGUCGGCGGAGCAGGCCCAGCGACGCGACGAGAUGCUGCGCAUGUACCACGCCCUGAAGGAGGCCCUCAACAUCAUCGGGGACAUCAACACCAGCACCAUCAGCACCCCCAUGCCCCCACCGGUGGACGACUCCUGGCUGCAGGUGCAGAGCGUACCGUCCGGACGCAGGUCUCCCACGUCCAGCCCCACUCCUCAGAGGAGAGCUCCGGCAGUGCCGCCCGCCAGACCUGGGUCUCGCGGACCAGCUCCUGGGCCACCUCCUGCUGGUGGGUCCACGCUGGGUGGUGCCCCCCCUGUGCCCUCCAGGCCAGGUGCCUCUCCUGAUCCCUUCGGGCCCCCACCUCAGGUUCCUUCUCGGCCUAACCGUGCUCCUCCUGGUGUUCCCAGGGCUCCCAAAGUCUGAAGUUGCCCCUUUUCUCCUGGCCCAGAGUUCUUCAAGUUGUUCAUAGACUCCUCCGGAUCCUGAUACCAGCUUGUCAUUUGAGUUCACUGAUGAACGGAGAAUUUCCAAUGACAAGGGACUCUUUCUCUUCCUCUCCUGUAUAUAGAAUAAGAAUGUUCCCUGCUAGCACUUGGACUCGGGUCCUUCUGCCAUGGAAUCACUAUCAGUGACCCCUGAGGACUGGCAGCCACGAAGGGGCCCCGCCUCACCUACUCGACCCACCAUAAUCCGACCGGCUGAACCGUCCCUCUUAGAUUUAUAACUUGAGGCUGUAGACAGCUGGCGACGAGCGCCGUGCCGGCGGCUUCCCCAUCCCACCCUCCCUUCCUCAGCCACAGUCACUCCUCUCAUCCAUCCCACAUCUCUGCCUCCCGCCACCCCCUUCCCAGUGUGUUGUAAAAAACACUAGUGAUCGAGCUCUUCGUCUUCGCUCGUGCGUCCUGUAUUGCUUUGUGAGCGUAGAGUAGCCUUCAUUCAGUGGCAUGGAUCCCUGAAGUACACAGGCUCCUUGGAGAGAGCAGCCACAGGGGCACCCUUAAGUCCAAGUGGUGGCUGUCCGUCCAGUAAUUCCAUCUGCCUGGUCUAGCCUGGAUAAGUGUCCUGCCUGCACCACUUAGUUGUAGCACCCGGGACUGAUCUGUAGCUAUUUUCUUUUCUUGUAGUUAAGACAAAGGCGUGACUUAGGGAAAAAAAUAAAAACACAUGCUGUCGAAACACGUGACACCGCUAGGAACAGAUUAGAUGUCCUGUGUAUUAGUUUGACUUCUAAGGUGCAAAAUUUCAUGUUGGGAACAGUGCAAUCAACUUUUUAUCAAAGUGAGGCAGGGAGGGGGGGAAUGAACGGAUCUAGUCCUGCUCGAGUGAAGUCUGAGAUAGCGCACACACCUCAGCGUGCAGGAGCACACAGACCUGCUCGGCUCCCCAGGGCUGGGGAAUUCCUGCUGGGGACACACUGGCUCCUGCCAGCAGUUGUCUUGCAUCAUCAUUUUUGGCUGACUUUCCUGACACCCCAGCAGGGCGAGGGGAAUAGACACGCUGCUCCCCCCUUGCACAUGGACAGCCAAAUGUUUCAGGGAGUUCGCUGUGUGAUGUUUUGUUGAAAAUAUUUCUGCUUUGAAUAAGCACAUCUUUCAGUGUUUUUGGGGUACUGUGGUGACUUUCUUCCGUAGCCUUUUUCUUGCAUGUGGAUGGUACGUGUUUGGGGAAACUUGUAACCGUUGUUGAUCACAACUCAUCUUAAGGUUUGGUUUUUACUCUUCAUGCUACAUGUAUUAAAAAAAAAAAAAAUACUUGAGAAUUAAAAAAAUAUAUCAACCCUGUACAUCUCAGAUGUCAUGUCUCUACCAGAGCUGAAUGAGCCACCUGUGUUCCAGGCUUUCCUCCAGGCCUGAUUCACGUUGAAGUUCUCUCGUUUCAGUGCUAUUGCUCUUAAUUUCUGUUGUGGAUCCUCUAUUGUUCUGACACCAGUUCCUUUCUGUAUUUUAACUAUUGUUUUACUACUUCUCCUCCUUUUCCUUCCCUUUCCCUUCUUCUUUGUUUUUCUUGUCUUUAACGUCCAGCCGGCCGGGUAAGGCCAGUCCCGCCCGCCCGGAGAGCCCAAAACCACCAUUUGACAUGUAGUCCUGCUCCCUCUGAGACUCUUUGCCUGCUCUUAGCUGUUCUGUCCUGGAAUGGUCUGACUCCAAUCUCACACAUGGCUUGUUUUCUUUGUAAUUUGUGACACACACAUAUCAGAUGUGAUUGUAGUGAAACUGUUUUUUGGGGGGGUUUUGUUUGGUUUUUUUUUUCUUUUUUCUUCCCAGCUGCUUAAAGGAGUUAAACAAGUAUAUUGUAGUAAUGAGAAACAUAUCUUUACUGUUAUAAAUAUCUAUAAAUAUAUAUAUAAGAUGAAAAAUCUAUAUAUGUCCAGGUGUUUAAAGCCAUUUGUGCUUCUAUGUGAAUUUUAGGAAAUACUCCAGUAGGAAAAGAAUAUCUAUAUACAUAUAUAUAUACACAAACACAUCCAAAAAGUUAACCAAAUCCCAAUGUUGAGUUUUUGAGCUGAUUGUUAAAUUCUCUGCUGUGUGCAGUUGGGUUAUUGUAUUACCCCAGACUUGUGGGUGAACUGUCUCAGUGCUGGUAGUAGCUGUGAUGCAGUUUGUGAUCUACCUGUCACUCUCGUUUAUUGGAUGAAAUAAACUCUCAUUUCUGUAUAAUGAAGGUCUCCACGACUAGAAUAAAACCAUCUCUCUUUCUCUG
This is an RNA transcript of Neopelma chrysocephalum (saffron-crested tyrant-manakin), 4966 nucleotides long. It is a transcript of the gene named dynamin 1, with no coding region annotated. The record is from RefSeq and is a predicted model, not a curated record. The transcript is spliced from 25 exons. Lineage: Eukaryota; Metazoa; Chordata; Aves; Passeriformes; Pipridae.